UAGGGAAUCUUCGGCAAUGGGGGCAACCCUGACCGAGCAACGCCGCGUGAGUGAAGAAGGUUUUCGGAUCGUAAAGCUCUGUUGUAAGAGAAGAACGUGUGUGAGAGUGGAAAGUUCACACAGUGACGGUAACUUACCAGAAAGGGACGGCUAACUACGUGCCAGCAGCCGCGGUAAUACGUAGGUCCCGAGCGUUGUCCGGAUUUAUUGGGCGUAAAGCGAGCGCAGGCGGUUUAAUAAGUCUGAAGUUAAAGGCAGUGGCUUAACCAUUGUUCGCUUUGGAAACUGUUAAACUUGAGUGCAGAAGGGGAGAGUGGAAUUCCAUGUGUAGCGGUGAAAUGCGUAGAUAUAUGGAGGACCACCGGUGGCGAAAGCAGCUCUCUGGUCUGUAACUGACGCUGAGGCUCGAAAGCGUGGGGAGCAAACAGG
This 429-nucleotide ribosomal RNA is filed under the name bacterium. RNAcentral describes it as "partial 16S ribosomal RNA". It matches the Rfam family "Bacterial small subunit ribosomal RNA", at positions 355 to 776 of the family's 1533-position model. The record is from RNAcentral.